CGGGGGGGGCAAGCGUUGUUCGGAAUUACUGGGCGUAAAGGGCUCGUAGGUGGCCAACUAAGUCAGACGUGAAAUCCCUCGGCUUAACCGGGGAACUGCGUCUGAUACUGGAUGGCUUGAGUUCGGGAGAGGGAUGCGGAAUUCCAGGUGUAGCGGUGAAAUGCGUAGAUAUCUGGAGGAACACCGGUGGCGAAGGCGGCAUCCUGGACCGACACUGACACUGAGGAGCGAAAGCCAGGGGAGCAAACGGGAUUAGAUACCCCGGUAGUCCUGGCCCUAAACGAUGAAUGCUUGGUGUGGCGGGUACCGAUCCCUGCCGUGCCGAAGCUAACGCAUUAAGCAUUCCGCCUGGGGAGUACGGUCGCAAGGCUG
RNAcentral lists this ribosomal RNA (372 nucleotides) under uncultured organism. RNAcentral describes it as "bacterial SSU rRNA". It matches the Rfam family "Bacterial small subunit ribosomal RNA", at positions 526 to 896 of the family's 1533-position model. The record is from RNAcentral.